UAUAAUGUAUUGCAUGAAUAUUGGAAGAUCAUAUAAUUAAUCAAGAAACUAAGAAGAAGAAAAACACUUAAGGCCCUUUAAGGCUUUAACCUUCAUUCAUUGCGGAAAAAAAGAAACAAUUGUACUUGUGAUCCAUCAUGAGCUUCAUGACUCAGAACAGUAGCACCCGAAACAACGGAGUAGUAGCAGUUAAACCAAAGAGAAAAGGCAUAAAACGUAAGAUCAUUUGGAAAGUCACCAAAAUGGUUAUCAGACAUUCAAUCUACCAUGCUACAGGAAUGUCUCAUCUCAGUUUCAUUGAAGUCGCCGGCCAUCUACUCAACUGAUCGAUUCAGAGGUUAUUGGUUAGUUGCUCGUCUUUCUUCGCAAUUUCUAUGUUACUCCGGGAGUACCAUGCAAAAUAUAUGUUAUUUUGAAAUAAGUACAUGUUAUUUUAUACUUGUAUAUUUUUUAUUUUUUUUAAUAUUCAACAUCGAUUAUUUUAUAGUACUUCAAUUCUAUAAAA
Chenopodium quinoa (quinoa) is the source of this 505-nucleotide long non-coding RNA. RefSeq lists it as uncharacterized. NCBI's taxonomy places the organism in Eukaryota, Viridiplantae, Streptophyta, Magnoliopsida, Caryophyllales, Amaranthaceae. The transcript is spliced from 2 exons. The record is from RefSeq and is a predicted model, not a curated record.